Molecule: long non-coding RNA, 2702 nt
Organism: Tachysurus vachellii
Lineage: Eukaryota; Metazoa; Chordata; Actinopteri; Siluriformes; Bagridae
Exons: 2
Source: RefSeq, a predicted model, not a curated record
AGGAGUGGGCAGGGUAGGUGGAGCGCAAGUGAGCUGAACUUCUUGCGCUCUUCUUGUGAACCUUUUAUAAAUGCUACUUUAUUAAGAAACUGUUUAAUUAAAACGUGACCAGUAGCAAUUUGUUUUACACGUUUUAAAUGGGCGAACCACUUGCUUUUUAUUGGUGCUGUUGUAUGGAAAACUUGAGUGGGUUCCCGCACGUCGCAGACUUUCUGAAGGCAGGUAAGCCACUGACUAACGCACACUGCGCCUGUUCUCCGCUCCACUGUGCGUGUGACAGCGGCUAACCAGCUUUUGGAUGCCUCUCGGACUUCAGCUUCACUUCAGCACUGAAAGAAAAGCCACUGGAGAUUUGUUUAAUGGGUCUCACCGGAAACUGCUUCUCCUUUUCUGUGGGUAUUUUACUGUGUAACGCGCGUACGUGCUCCAGGUCACAUGUACAUCUAUACACCAUUUAUAUACCAUCUGUACUCCAUCUAUACAUAAUCUGUACUCCAUUUAUACUCCAUUAUAUACUAUCUAUACUCCAUCUGUACUCCACUGAACACUCACCGUCUCCAUUAGAAUCCACCAUCUAUACUUCACUGAACUCCGUCUCCAUUAGAAUACUCCAUCUAUACUCCACUGUACACCGUCUCCGUUAGAAUACUCCAUUUGUACUCCACUGUACACCGUCUAUUUGUACUUUACUGUACUCCAUCUAUUCUCCACUGAACACUCUCAAUCUCCAUUAGAAUACACCAUCUAUACUUCACUGAACUCCGUCUCCAUUAGAAUACUCCAUCUAUACUCUACUGAACACCGUCUCCAUUAGAAUACUCCAUCUAUACUCUACUGAACACCGUCUCCAUUAGAAUACUCCAUCUAUACUCCACUGAACACCGUCUCCAUUAGAAUACUCCAUCUAUACUCCACUGAACACCUUCUCCAUUGGAAUACUCCAUCUAUACUCCACUGAACACCUUCUCCAUUGGAAUACUCCAUCUAUACUCCACUGAACACCAUCUCCAUUGGAAUACUCCAUCUAUACUCCACUGAACACCAUCUCCAUUAGAAUACUCCAUCUACACUCCACUGAACACCAUCUCCAUUAGAAUACUCCAUCUAUACUCCACUGAACACUCACCAUCUCCAUUAGAAUACUCCAUCUAUACUCUAUCUAUACUUCACUGAACACUCACCAUCUCCAUUAGAAUACUCCAUCUAUACUCCACUGAACACUCACCAUCUCCGUUAGAAUACUCCAUCUAUACUCUACUGUACACCGUCUAGAUUAGAAUACACCAUUUAACUCCACUGAACACCGUCUCCAUUAGAAUACUCCAUCUAUACUCCACUGAACUAACACCAUCUCAGUUAUAGUAGUCGUGUACAUAUCAAUUGAAUAGGACUUACUACUCUAAAUGAAUUGCUUCUGCUUUAUUGCAGCUGUUAAAUUAAAUCUGCAUAUAAGCAAGUAGUUUAUUCUGAUGCCAUAUCUUGCUGCAUUAGAAUGACGUAUAUGUAAUCAUACGUGGCUGCAGUAAUAUGGCCGAAAUGCAUGGAUGGGUGGAUGGAUGAAUGCAACCAUGUAUUGGUGGACCUGGGAUUUGAACUCAUGACCUUCUGAUCUGUAGUCCAAAGCCUUAACCACUAGGCUACCACAUACCCCCAUACUUUACUACAGUAGUAAAGCCUAUGUUUGACCGUACUUUGUUAUUUUAUUUUAGCCGACAUAUUUUAGCCGACAUUAUUUCUAUUAUAUCGUGCAUGUAACCAUAGUUUACUGUUGUAUAACGUACACCAAUCUAUUCCAAACCUUACAUAAGUAGUAUAAACUAUAUUAUUAAACUAUAUUAUUAUUAUUAUUAAACUAUAUUAUUACUGUAAUAUAGACUACAUGUGACUAUACACUAUUACAGAAUAUGUUUAUAUAUGGCUAUACAUUAUAGUAUAGUAUACAAUGUUGUCCAUUAUACUCCAGUGGUGACUGGUGUGGAUGCAGGUUUUCAUUCCAAUUCAAUCCAAUCCAAAAGUCACACCUAAGUGUACUGAAAGCCAAGAUCAUCUGACUAAAUAAGUUUAAUCAGAUGUAGCACCAGCUUUGGCCAUUUAUGGUUCAUCCUGGGAAGGUGUCCGGGUUAGCACAUACAUUAUUACAGUAAUGUAAACGAUGGGAUCCUAAAUGAUUGCAGUAGAAAAGCCUAGAUUUGGCCACAACCUACUAAAGUAGAUUUAUGUGACUCUACGUUAUUACAGUAGCAUAUUUGUCUAUAUGUGACUAUAGUUUGUACAGUAGCUAUAGUGAGUAAUAAGAAAGGUAUGUAAGGAGUGUAAGUAUGGGUGAGUCAGGGUUUAAGAAGUUAUGUCUUACAAUAGUUUGGCUUAAGUGUGGCCCUAAGCUAGUUAAUUAACUAUUUGUAGUAUGGUAGUGUAUAUACUACCCAUGGCCAUAACUGAUAUAUGUCUAUAACUGAACUAUAAUAUAACUUUCAUGUAGUUGUUAAAUAUUUUAUAUCUAAAGAUGUAUAGCUCAUGUAUUAUAGCAGUCAUCCAAACAGUCCAGAAGUAUAGCCAACAUGAAGGAACUUACUUGGGACUUAAAGUAAAUAAUUCUUUCUGUUUUAAUGUAACAAGACUCAUUUUGAUUUGGGUAAAUGAUACUAAGUUGGCAAGAUAAAAUCUGCUGUUCAACUGUAUAAUAAACAUGAAUUGUGUAUUAA